Molecule: ribosomal RNA, 301 nt
Filed under: uncultured bacterium
Lineage: Bacteria
Description: partial 16S ribosomal RNA
Rfam family: Bacterial small subunit ribosomal RNA
Source: RNAcentral
CAGCAGCCGCGGUAAUACGUAGGUGGCAAGCGUUAUCCGGAAUUACUGGGCGUAAAGCGUGCGCAGGCGGUUUUGUAAGACUGGCGUGAAAUCCCCGGGCUCAACCUGGGAAUGGCGCUUGUGACUGCAAAGCUAGAGUGCGGCAGAGGGGGAUGGAAUUCCGCGUGUAGCAGUGAAAUGCGUAGAUAUGCGGAGGAACACCGAUGGCGAAGGCAAUCCCCUGGGCCUGCACUGACGCUCAUGCACGAAAGCGUGGGGAGCAAACAGGAUUAGAUACCCCUGUAGUCCCUGUCUCUUAUAC